CAGAAGAACAUGGAAGCCAUGUGAAAAAAACGGAUCCUAAGGCAGUUUUGAACAUCUGGAGGCCUGAUUUAUUGGAGAUUGCAAAUGUACAGUGUAACAUAGCUGUGGAGAGCGAGAAGAUCAGGAUUGUCAAUGCUGUCAUUGCUUUUACUGGAAUCCCCAGCACGAAUUGAAGGUCUCACUUUGCCACCUAGGCUGGAUGCAAUGCAACGGUAUGUUGAUCUUGGUUCACUGCAGCCUCAACCUCCUGAGCUCAUGUGAUCCUCCCACCUCAGUCCCCCACGUCGCUUGGAUUACAGGCCUGUGCCACCACACCUGGCUAACUUUUUUUGUAAUUUUUGUAGAGACAGGGUCUCACUAUGUUUCCCAUGCUGGUCUUUAAUGCCUGAGCUCAAGCCAUCCGCCUGCCUCGGCCUCCCAAAUUGCUGGGAUUACAGGCAUGAGCCACCAUGCCCAGCCUAAUUCUUCUAAAUCUUAUCCUAGUAAUUAAGCCAGAAUUUUUCUCUGCCAAGACCAAUAGAUGGACCAAGAAGUACUCAUCCUUGUAAACUUUCUUUGGAUAAAUUGCUUACAUAUAAUAAAUUCAGAGUUAAGUAAUAAAAAUAAUGAACUACUGUCUU
This 620-nucleotide long non-coding RNA is filed under the name Homo sapiens (human). Its description in RNAcentral is "HSALNT0328020". The record is from RNAcentral. Lineage: Eukaryota; Metazoa; Chordata; Mammalia; Primates; Hominidae.